GUUGGGUUUUAGUUAAGUUUACAAGUUUUAAACUUUCAUCAUAAAUAAUUUAUUUAAAUAUUUUUUUUGUAAUAUAUCCUUUCCAUCAUUCUCAUUUUUCAUAAUUAUCUAUAAAUCAGAAAUUUAUUUUUAUUUUCAUUAUUACAUUAUUGAUAACUCAUAAUAAAUAAAUUAUUAGUAAAUUAAAAUUAUUCAAAUUUUAAAUAAUGUUAAAUUUUAAUUUUUAAUUUUAAACCAUUGACUAUAAUUUUAUUUUAUUUUAAAAACCCGCUGCCUCGAAUUUAGUCGGCCCAUAUAUUCUUCCACGUGUUUGUUUUCCUUUUUGUCAGGACCGACUCAGCAAAAAUAAUAUUACGACGACAUCCAAUUUUAGUGUAGCCCAAUAAAAUACGACAAAACAGUUACAAGCCCACAAUGUUUUAUAACAAAGCCCUUCAAGAGUAAAACCACUCUUAUCAAUGAACAUACUCACCCGGUCCAAAUUAUAAACUCUUGAAAAUAUUUGGGCUUCCUCCGACCCGGUCCACUUAACCACUUCUCCAUCAAGGCAUCAACACUUCCCUGAUCAUCUCCACUAGAAUCACCCUGCUAGCAAUAUUGUUGAAGACAUCGUAGUUGUUGCUUAAUGUCUGGUGUUCCUACUGCUCAAUUCUUUGUUCCGCAAGCGCCGCAAAAUUGAUUGUAUUUCCCUUGAGCUUCUAUUCGGAGUUGCAGGUGUCGUUGUACCUGUUCAACAUACAAGUGAGUACUACUCCAAAAAUUUUAAUGUCGGAGAAGAAAUUUUUGUAUCUGAUAGAUAGUGAGUAUUGCAUACCUCAAGCUGCUCAUGUAGCUGCCUCUGCACUUCAAUUUGCAUUUGUAUUGCUUCACUUAUAUGCGGACUUCAGGGUAAAGACAUCAUAGUAGUUAGGUCACAAUACCAGCAGUAUGUCUGAAAUCGCAUGAUUUAUUUAUUUUUAGAUGGUUCUUACUUUU
Molecule: long non-coding RNA, 975 nt
Organism: Daucus carota subsp. sativus
Lineage: Eukaryota; Viridiplantae; Streptophyta; Magnoliopsida; Apiales; Apiaceae
Exons: 3
Source: RefSeq, a predicted model, not a curated record